UACAGAGGGUGCAAGCGUUAAUCGGAAUUACUGGGCGUAAAGCGUGCGUAGACGGUCGUGUAAGUCGGGUGUGAAAGCCCCGGGCUCAACCUGGGAAUUGCAUUCGAAACUGCUCGGCUAGGGUGCGGAAGAGGGAAGCGGAAUUUCCGGUGUAGCGGUGAAAUGCGUAGAUAUCGGAAGGAACACCAGUGGCGAAAGCGGCUUCCUGGUCCAGCACCGACGUUCAGGCACGAAAGCGUGGGGAGCAAACAGG
This 253-nucleotide ribosomal RNA is filed under the name uncultured bacterium. RNAcentral's name for it is "partial 16S ribosomal RNA". It matches the Rfam family "Bacterial small subunit ribosomal RNA", at positions 524 to 776 of the family's 1533-position model. The record is from RNAcentral.